GGCCAGCAGCCGCGGUAAUACGGAGGGUGCAAGCGUUGCUCGGAAUCACUGGGCGUAAAGCGAACGCAGGCGGAUCGUUAAGUUAGGCGUGAAAGCCCCGGGCUCAACCUGGGAACUGCGCUUAAGACUGGAGAGCUAGAAAACGGAAGAGGGUAGUGGAAUUCCCAGUGUAGAGGUGAAAUUCGUAGAUAUUGGGAAGAACACCAGUGGCGAAAGCGGCUACCUGGUCCGGAUUUGACGCUGAGGCGCGAAAGCGUGGGUAGCGAACAGGAUUAGAUA
RNAcentral lists this ribosomal RNA (279 nucleotides) under uncultured bacterium. RNAcentral describes it as "partial 16S ribosomal RNA". It matches the Rfam family "Bacterial small subunit ribosomal RNA", at positions 506 to 784 of the family's 1533-position model. The record is from RNAcentral.